Molecule: ribosomal RNA, 253 nt
Filed under: uncultured bacterium
Lineage: Bacteria
Description: partial 16S ribosomal RNA
Rfam family: Bacterial small subunit ribosomal RNA
Source: RNAcentral
UACGGAGGGUGCAAGCGUUGUCCGGAUUUAUUGGGUUUAAAGGGUGCGUAGGCGGUUCUUUAAGUCAGUGGUGAAAGCCUCCAGCUUAACUGGAGAAAUGCCAUUGAUACUGAAGAACUUGAGUACAGACGAGGUAGGCGGAAUUGACAGUGUAGCGGUGAAAUGCAUAGAUAUUGUCAAGAACACCGAUUGCGAAGGCAGCUUACUAGACUGUAACUGACGCUGAGGCACGAAAGCUAGGGGAGCGAAUGGG